Molecule: ribosomal RNA, 1066 nt
Filed under: Bacillus thuringiensis
Lineage: Bacteria; Bacillati; Bacillota; Bacilli; Caryophanales; Bacillaceae
Description: bacterial SSU rRNA
Rfam family: Bacterial small subunit ribosomal RNA
Source: RNAcentral
GGGGACUUGCGGCGUGCUAUACAUGCAGUCGAGCGAAUGGAUUAAGAGCUUGCUCUUAUGAAGUUAGCGGCGGACGGGUGAGUAACACGUGGGUAACCUGCCCAUAAGACUGGGAUAACUCCGGGAAACCGGGGCUAAUACCGGAUAACAUUUUGAACUGCAUGGUUCGAAAUUGAAAGGCGGCUUCGGCUGUCACUUAUGGAUGGACCCGCGUCGCAUUAGCUAGUUGGUGAGGUAACGGCUCACCAAGGCAACGAUGCGUAGCCGACCUGAGAGGGUGAUCGGCCACACUGGGACUGAGACACGGCCCAGACUCCUACGGGAGGCAGCAGUAGGGAAUCUUCCGCAAUGGACGAAAGUCUGACGGAGCAACGCCGCGUGAGUGAUGAAGGCUUUCGGGUCGUAAAACUCUGUUGUUAGGGAAGAACAAGUGCUAGUUGAAUAAGCUGGCACCUUGACGGUACCUAACCAGAAAGCCACGGCUAACUACGUGCCAGCAGCCGCGGUAAUACGUAGGUGGCAAGCGUUAUCCGGAAUUAUUGGGCGUAAAGCGCGCGCAGGUGGUUUCUUAAGUCUGAUGUGAAAGCCCACGGCUCAACCGUGGAGGGUCAUUGGAAACUGGGAGACUUGAGUGCAGAAGAGGAAAGUGGAAUUCCAUGUGUAGCGGUGAAAUGCGUAGAGAUAUGGAGGAACACCAGUGGCGAAGGCGACUUUCUGGUGUGUAACUGACACUGAGGCGCGAAAGCGUGGGGAGCGAAACAGGAUUAGAUACCCUGGUAGUCCACGCCGUAACGAUGAGUGCUAAGUGUUAGGAGGGUUUCCGCCCUUUAGUGCUGAGAUUAACGCAUUAACACUCCGCCUGGCGAGGGACGGGCCGCGGGGCUGAGACUCAAGAAUUGACAUGGGCGCGGCGCAGCUUUGAGCAUGUGUUGUAGUUCUAAUCACCGCAACAACCUUACCGGGGCGUGGGGUGCGUCUGAACCCGUAGAGGUAUGACGUUCGUGCGUUCCCCACAGAGGUGACAGAUGAUACAGUGGUGUCGUGCGUUCUCCUCUCAUCAAGAGUU